AAAUUGAAGAGUUUGAUCAUGGCUCAGAUUGAACGCUGGCGGCAGGCCUAACACAUGCAAGUCGAACGGUAACAGAAAGCAGCUUGCUGCUUUGCUGACGAGUGGCGGACGGGUGAGUAAUGUCUGGGAAACUGCCUGAUGGAGGGGGAUAACUACUGGAAACGGUAGCUAAUACCGCAUAACGUCGCAAGACCAAAGAGGGGGACCUUCGGGCCUCUU
This 219-nucleotide ribosomal RNA is filed under the name Escherichia coli. RNAcentral describes it as "partial 16S ribosomal RNA". It matches the Rfam family "Bacterial small subunit ribosomal RNA", at positions 1 to 218 of the family's 1533-position model. Lineage: Bacteria; Pseudomonadati; Pseudomonadota; Gammaproteobacteria; Enterobacterales; Enterobacteriaceae. The record is from RNAcentral.